This 253-nucleotide ribosomal RNA is filed under the name uncultured bacterium. Its description in RNAcentral is "partial 16S ribosomal RNA". It matches the Rfam family "Bacterial small subunit ribosomal RNA", at positions 524 to 776 of the family's 1533-position model. The record is from RNAcentral.
UACGGAGGGUGCAAGCGUUAUCCGGAUUCACUGGGUUUAAAGGGUGCGUAGGCGGAUAAGUAAGUCAGUGGUGAAAUCUCCGGGCUUAACUCGGAAACUGCCGUUGAUACUAUUUAUCUUGAAUAUCGUGGAGGUAAGCGGAAUAUGUCAUGUAGCGGUGAAAUGCUUAGAUAUGACAUAGAACACCGAUAGCGAAGGCAGCUUACUACAUGUUAAUUGACGCUGAGGCACGAAAGCGUGGGGAGCAAACAGG